This is a non-coding RNA of Dermacentor albipictus, 1682 nucleotides long. The record is from RefSeq and is a predicted model, not a curated record. Lineage: Eukaryota; Metazoa; Arthropoda; Arachnida; Ixodida; Ixodidae.
GCGUGGCUGCACCGUCUUCUCCGAGCGUUGCGCGUGAGCGGGAGGCUUUGAGCCGUUGUCGCCAAGCGGCGCCUGACCACCCCGCGGAUAUCCCCGGCGAACUGCUUCACUGAAGAGGGUCCGGAAUGCAACAGGCGUCGCACCAUCGACAUCAAUGCGCAGCGAGACAUGCCAGCACGUCGCAGGGCUGCUUCUGAGCUUUGCUGACCUGGCGACUGCUGAACUCAACAAACAGCCUUCAUGCACGGACUUGCCAUGCUAAUGGAUUGUACCGCCGGAAGCAAAGAGGCCAGUGCCAAAGGUGCCGCUGAAGGAGAUCGUGUUUCAGAAUCAUCGAAUAAACAGAGCACUCCAUCAAGAGAGGAAGUUCAAGCCGUGCAGUUCUGCUUUACCGCCACAUCAUCAAGAUAUCAUAUCAUUAAAGGAGAACCUGUUGGCCUGCUACCCAACACUUCAAGUACUGCGGCACAUGAAACCAGCAGAUAAGAAGCUACAAAGAGUUCAAGGACCACCAUCCGAGGUCUUGAUUCAAUACAACGAAAACUUAUGGGGAAUCAGAGCAUUGGCAUCGUUUAAUGCACGCACGGCAUAAAUGAAGCCCCUUUGUCAAGAGGAGAGGGAUGCAAUAUAUGUAAAAACUACUCCAUUUAUGAAUCAUGCACUUGUGCCAGAGCUUCUCAUAGGGUGUGUAAAGCUACUAGAGAAGCUGCGCACUUCAGGCCAGUAUGUCUCACACAAGAUGCUGAAGAAAGGAUUUUAUGUGUGCGAACCUCAAGACAUGUUACGAAUGAAAGUGAGAAAACUAAAGUCUCCAAAAGAGGUCUGGCAGAACCUGCUGGUGGCCAGUGCUGCAUUCCUAAUAAAUGUGUAUAAAUACGAAGUGACUUAAAGAGUGAUGACAUGUGCAAGAAUUUUAAUUAUUGUGCUAAAUAAAGAAAAUUUGUCAGGAUUAACUAAAACCGGACAAACAAAUUCUAUAAAAAGCUGACUACUAUAGAGCAGCUACAACAUUCUACUUUUUUUUCCAGUUAUGUUUACUAAAAUUUAAAGUACACUUUUUAUGAAUGGCGCCUUAAAGUUGCACUCUGAAAACUUGUUCUGCUAUGUCAAUCAUAGAAAUUGGAAAUGCCCCAUCGAGAAUGUGGAAGCUUUUGAUGCGUCCAAUAGCCCGCUCAACAUGCACCCUUGCACAUGCAAUGCGACGAGUUUUUUCCACUGCUUGAGGCUGCAUCUGUGCCUGCUUUGGCUCACGGAAUGGUGGCCUGUAGAUAGUUAUUCGUAGGGGUAAAUAAUGGAAUAUAAAACCUUAGUCGACCAUUAUAGCAUCCCCAGGCUGUAAUCUAUCAAGAAGCCCAGAGCUCUGCAGAAUUGCGUUGUCUGACACCGAUCCUCUCCAAAGUCGUGAAGCAUAGCUAAUAUAGCCAUCUGGUGUGCACCCCAUUAGUACUUUAUAAGUAUUAUAGUGCUUGUACGUUGAAAAUGGUUUGCCGCUGGGCAUGAAGAGAAGAGGGACGUUGUAUUUGAACUUCUGUGGCAUCCAAGACCAGCCUAGUAUUCUCAAACCAUUUCUAGGAUCGAAUACUUUCUGCAAUGUCAUUCAGCAGUUUCAUUCUUCUAACUUCUGCGUUUAGCUUACCGACAUCUAAACCUGAUUCCUGAAGCAUGGGCGCUAUAACGUAAAA